GAUCAUUACACAAAUAUGAAGGCGGGCUGGAACCUCUCGGGGUUACAGCCUUGCUGAAUUAUUCACCCUUGUCUUUUGCGUACUUCUUGUUUCCUUGGUGGGUUCGCCCACCACUAGGACAAACAUAAACCUUUUGUAAUUGCAAUCAGCGUCAGUAACAAAUUAAUAAUUACAACUUUCAACAACGGAUCUCUUGGUUCUGGCAUCGAUGAAGAACGCAGCGAAAUGCGAUAAGUAGUGUGAAUUGCAGAAUUCAGUGAAUCAUCGAAUCUUUGAACGCACAUUGCGCCCUUUGGUAUUCCAAAGGGCAUGCCUGUUCGAGCGUCAUUUGUACCCUCAAGCUUUGCUUGGUGUUGGGCGUCUUGUCUCUAGCUUUGCUGGAGACUCGCCUUAAAGUAAUUGGCAGCCGGCCUACUGGUUUCGGAGCGCAGCACAAGUCGCACUCUCUAUCAGCAAAGGUCUAGCAUCCAUUAAGCCUUUUUUUCAACUUUUGACCUCGGAUCAGGUAGGGAUACCCGCUGAACUUAAGCAUAUCAAUAAGCGGAGGAAAAGAAACCAACAGGGAUUGCCCUAGUAACGGCGAGUGAAGCGGCAACAGCUCAAAUUUGAAAUCUGGCUCUUUUAGAGUCCGAGUUGUAAUUUGCAGAGGGCGCUUUGGCUUUGGCAGCGGUCCAAGUUCCUUGGAACAGGACGUCACAGAGGGUGAGAAUCCCGUACGUGGUCGCUGGCUAUUGCCGUGUAAAGCCCCUUCGACGAGUCGAGUUGUUUGGGAAUGCAGCUCUAAAUGGGAGGUACAUUUCUUCUAAAGCUAAAUAUUGGCCAGAGACCGAUAGCGCACAAGUAGAGUGAUCGAAAGAUGAAAAGCACUUUGGAAAGAGAGUCAAACAGCACGUGAAAUUGUUGAAAGGGAAGCGCUUGCAGCCAGACUUGCUUACAGUUGCUCAUCCGGGUUUCUACCCGGUGCACUCUUCUGUAGGCAGGCCAGCAUCAGUUUGGGCGGUAGGAUAAAGGUCUCUGUCACGUACCUCCUUUCGGGGAGGCCUUAUAGGGGAGACGACAUACUACCAGCCUGGACUGAGGUCCGCG
Molecule: non-coding RNA, 1086 nt
Filed under: Dothideomycetes sp. 11321
Lineage: Eukaryota; Fungi; Ascomycota; Dothideomycetes
Also listed under: 2 other names
Description: eukaryotic LSU rRNA
Rfam family: Eukaryotic large subunit ribosomal RNA (bases 492-1086)
Source: RNAcentral